Rana temporaria (common frog) is the source of this 809-nucleotide long non-coding RNA. RefSeq lists it as uncharacterized. The record is from RefSeq and is a predicted model, not a curated record. NCBI's taxonomy places the organism in Eukaryota, Metazoa, Chordata, Amphibia, Anura, Ranidae. The transcript is spliced from 2 exons.
UGUAGUAGUUGACAUCUGUGCAUUUUAUGGAAAGGGCCAUGGAUUUUUUUUCUGUUUUUUGGUUACCUAUAAUUAAAUUGAUCAAAAUAAGCAUGUAUUUAAAAGCGCAAAAUGCACCUGCCAUAUGAAAACUGUAACCUGCAUAGCAGGUUUGAAUCAGGCCUUAGCGAAUGAAUGCCUAGAUAUCACAACAUUUACACCUGCCUUUGAGAGAUCAAAGACCUGAAACCGUGUGUGGGCCAGGUUUUGGUAGAUAAAAAAUGUGUCAAGUGAUUUUCACAUUUCCAGUGGGAUGUUUCCAGCGCACUCUUGCAACAGCGAACAAAUGCUGCAGCCUGUAGUGAAUAGUGGGUGUAUACUUUUUAUAUACAAAAAUAAAUUAAUCUCAUGAACACUAAAUACACAUAUUAAGUUAAAAAAAACGAUUUAGACAUGGGAAAAUUAAGGUAUACCAAGUUCAGGAAAGCAAACUCUAAAUUCGAAAUAAUUUCUUCAUAGGAUAUGGAUAUCAGAAUGUUUUUCAGCAAAAAAGGGGCAUCGGGAAAAGCUGAGCCUGAGUCUCAGGAAGAAGCCAGCUGGCUGUUUAAAGUUUGGUGGUCAUAGCGUACUCCACUGAGGAAACCAAGUUGGCGAAAUAUAUCGGGAUAUGACAUCUCACCUGACCACUGCUAUCAGAAUUGGGAACACCAGCGACCCAUGCAGUCUAUGACAUCUGUUUGAUUAAUUUGUUUUGUUUUUAUGUAAAUAUUUCUACUAUAUAUUCUGUACAUUAGUUACCUGAUAUAUUUUAAUAAAAAAAUUAAGUUUUA